RNAcentral lists this ribosomal RNA (253 nucleotides) under uncultured bacterium. Its description in RNAcentral is "partial 16S ribosomal RNA". It matches the Rfam family "Bacterial small subunit ribosomal RNA", at positions 524 to 776 of the family's 1533-position model. The record is from RNAcentral.
UACAGAGGUCUCAAGCGUUGUUCGGAUUCAUUGGGCGUAAAGGGUGCGUAGGCGGCGCGGUAAGUCGGGUGUGAAAUCUCGGAGCUUAACUCCGAAACUGCAUUCGAUACUGCCGUGCUUGAGGACUGGAGAGGAGACUGGAAUUUACGGUGUAGCGGUGAAAUGCGUAGAUAUCGUAAGGAAGACCAGUGGCGAAGGCGGCCACCUGGACGGUAACUGACGCUGAGACGCGAAAGCGUGGGGAGCAAACAGG